GACGAACGCUGGCGGCGUGCUUAACACAUGCAAGUCGAACGGAAAGGCCCUGCUUGCCGGGUACUCGAGUGGCGAACGGGUGAGUAACACGUGGGUGAUCUGCCCUGCACUUCGGGAUAAGCCUGGGAAACUGGGUCUAAUACCGGAUAGGAGCCAUUUUUAGUGUGAUGGUUGGAAAGUUUUUUCGGUGUAGGAUGAGCUCGCGGCCUAUCAGCUUGUUGGUGGGGUAAUGGCCUACCAAGGCGGCGACGGGUAGCCGGCCUGAGAGGGUGGACGGCCACAUUGGGACUGAGAUGCGGCCCAGACUCCGACGGGGGGCAGCAGUGGGGAAUAUUGCACAAUGGGCGCAAGCCUGAUGCAGCGACGCCGCGUGGGGGAUGACGGCCUUCGGGUUGUAAACUCCUUUCGCUAGGGACGAAGCUUUUUGUGACGGUACCUAGAGAAGAAGCACCGGCUAACUACGUG
This 465-nucleotide ribosomal RNA is filed under the name uncultured bacterium. RNAcentral's name for it is "partial 16S ribosomal RNA". It matches the Rfam family "Bacterial small subunit ribosomal RNA", at positions 28 to 507 of the family's 1533-position model. The record is from RNAcentral.